AUGGCCUCUGAUUUUGAAAAUAAUGUGAAAGAAUUUAUGGUCUCUCAAAAGAAUUUUAAUGCCUUGCAUGAAGAAAAAUUGCUCAAAGUUGAUGAUUUGGCUAGGAAUGUUGAUAGACUUUCGCUUGAUGUUGAUUCUCUUAAACUUAGAUCUUGUUCUCCUAAGCAUGAUAUAAAUGAGUCUCUCAAAGCAAUAAGAGUGUCCAUUGACAAAUGCAAAGAAAGAACCGCUAGAUUGCGUGCUAAGAAAGAUUGCUUUGUUAAAGCGUGUUCUUCUAGUUCCCAUGAAAAUAAUGAUGAAGAUCUUAAAGUUAUUGAUGUGUCUCCUAUUAGAUCUUUGUUUUGCAAUAUGAAUCUUGAUAAUAAUGGGACCGGAGAUGAGUCAACUUUAUUUAGAAGGCGUCCCAAGAAUUCAGAAUUUUUAGAUCUUGAUGCUAAAUUUGGUAAAAGUGGGAUUGGAGAGGUCAUGACUUUAAAUAAUAUUGAACCCACUAUCUUGGAUUUCAAGGAAUUUGAUUAUUGUAAUUGUUCUUUAGAAAUUUGUAUUUCCUUGUUGCAAUCCAUUGUUAAUUCUCCUCAUGCUUAUAGUCAAAAUAAAGCUUCUACCAAACAUAUUGUUGAUGCCUUGAUGCAAUCUUUUGAUGAAAAACUUAAUUUGGAAGUUUCUAUACCUAGAAAACUUAAUGAUGAGUGGUAA
This 696-nucleotide ribosomal RNA is filed under the name Triticum aestivum (bread wheat). RNAcentral describes it as "partial small subunit ribosomal RNA". Lineage: Eukaryota; Viridiplantae; Streptophyta; Magnoliopsida; Poales; Poaceae. The record is from RNAcentral.